Molecule: ribosomal RNA, 490 nt
Filed under: uncultured bacterium
Lineage: Bacteria
Description: partial 16S ribosomal RNA
Rfam family: Bacterial small subunit ribosomal RNA
Source: RNAcentral
AUUGAACGCUGGCGGCAGGCCUAACACAUGCAAGUCGAACGGUAACAGGAAGAAGCUUGCUUCUUUGCUGACGAGUGGCGGACGGGUGAGUAAUGUCUGGGAAACUGCCUGAUGGAGGGGGAUAACUACUGGAAACGGUAGCUAAUACCGCAUAACGUCGCAAGACCAAAGAGGGGGACCUUCUGGCCUCUUGCCAUCGGAUGUGCCCAGAUGGGAUUAGCUAGUAGGUGGGGUAACGGCUCACCUAGGCGACGAUCCCUAGCUGGUCUGAGAGGAUGACCAGCCACACUGGAACUGAGACACGGUCCAGACUCCUACGGGAGGCAGCAGUGGGGAAUAUUGCACAAUGGGCGCAAGCCCGAUGCAGCCAUGCCGCGUGUAUGAAGAGGGCCUUCGGGUUGUAAAGUACUUUCAGCGGGGAGGAAGGGAGUAAAGUUAAUACCUUUACUCAUUGACGUUACCCGCAGAAGAAGCACCGGCUAACCCCGUG